UGAAGCCUACCUCCUCCCAGGGAUUUUCUG
RNAcentral lists this non-coding RNA (30 nucleotides) under Mus musculus (house mouse). Lineage: Eukaryota; Metazoa; Chordata; Mammalia; Rodentia; Muridae. The record is from RNAcentral.